Molecule: ribosomal RNA, 492 nt
Filed under: uncultured bacterium
Lineage: Bacteria
Description: partial 16S ribosomal RNA
Rfam family: Bacterial small subunit ribosomal RNA
Source: RNAcentral
AGUGAACGCUGGCGGUAGGCCUAACACAUGCAAGUCGAACGGCAGCACAGUAAGAGCUUGCUCUUACGGGUGGCGAGUGGCGGACGGGUGAGGAAUACAUCGGAAUCUACUUUUUCGUGGGGGAUAACGUAGGGAAACUUACGCUAAUACCGCAUACGACCCACGGGUGAAAGCAGGGGAUCUUCGGACCUUGCGCGAUUGAACUAGCCGAUGUCGGAUUAGCUAGUUGGCGGGGUAAAGGCCCACCAAGGCGACGAUCCGUAGCUGGUCUGAGAGGAUGGUAGGCCACACUGGAACUGAGACACGGUCCAGACUCCUACGGGAGGCAGCAGUGGGGAAUAGUGGACAAAGGGCGCAAGCCUGAUCCAGCCAUACCGCGUGGGUGAAGAAGGCCUUCGGGUUGUAAAGCCCUUUUGUUGGGAAAGAAAAGCAGCAGGUUAAUACCCCGCUGUUCUGACGGUACCCAAAGAAUAAGCACCGGCUAACUUCGUG